Molecule: ribosomal RNA, 468 nt
Filed under: uncultured bacterium
Lineage: Bacteria
Description: partial 16S ribosomal RNA
Rfam family: Bacterial small subunit ribosomal RNA
Source: RNAcentral
GACGAACGCUGGCGGCGUGCUUAACACAUGCAAGUCGAACGGAAAGGCCCUGCUUUUGUGGGGUGCUCGAGUGGCGAACGGGUGAGUAACACGUUAGUAACCUGCCCUUGACUUUGGGAUAACUUCAGGAAACUGGGGCUAAUACCGGAUAGGAGCUCCUGCUGCAUGGUGUGGGUUGGAAAGUUUCGGCGGUUGGGGAUGGACUCGCGGCUUAUCAGCUUGUUGGUGGGGUAGUGGCUUACCAAGGCUUUGACGGGUAGCCGGCCUGAGAGGGUGACCGGCCACAUUGGGACUGAGAUACGGCACAGACUCCUACGGGAGGCAGCAGUGGGGAAUAUUGCACAAUGGGCGGAAGCCUGAUGCAGCAACGCCGCGUGCGGGAUGACGGCCUUCGGGUUGUAAACCGCUUUCGCCUGUGACGAAGCGUGAGUGACGGUAAUGGGUAAAGAAGCACCGGCUAACUACGUG